CUUUGGAGAGUGGUAUUCAGAGGUAUUUCUUAAAUUUUAAAAUUAUAUGCUUCAACUGUUGGUAAUUUUAUGUGUAGGAGUAUUUUUUUUCUGAUUAUAGCUUGGGAGAUCAGGUAGGAUUGAUUGAUACGGACACAACGCAUAUGUAACUUUGUGAAAGACAAAAGAAACAAGGUUUACAGUUAAGGACAGUUCUUUUGGAACUUAAGAUAUGGAAAUUCUGUAUGAUAGAAUGUUCUAUUUCGCACAGGUUUUGUAAAAGAUCUCCUUCGAGCAAUUUUUUAUUCCACAAUCCAAUGCACUAAUGCAGUAUUUUAAGAGCAUGUCCUUGGAAAAUUUUUAUAAAUGUUUUUCUGUUUGAUUGUACACUGAAGUAAAAUUAAUCAUCUAGCCAAAUACUAUGAUUGUCCCAUCCUGGUAAGGAAAAAUCCCCCUCCCCCCCAAAAAAGAGAACAACACCACUCUUCCCAACCGAGAGAGCAUUGACACACAAAUUGAUGAUAAACAGUGGAUGGGGCUUAUGUAUUAUAUGUUUCUGUUCUACUUUUGGGACUCUUACUGUCGAUUUGUUUCCUUUUUGGCCUGUGUAGGUGGUCGUCAAUGGUGA
Molecule: unclassified non-coding RNA, 607 nt
Filed under: Hevea brasiliensis (rubber tree)
Lineage: Eukaryota; Viridiplantae; Streptophyta; Magnoliopsida; Malpighiales; Euphorbiaceae
Source: RNAcentral